RNAcentral lists this ribosomal RNA (260 nucleotides) under uncultured bacterium. RNAcentral's name for it is "partial 16S ribosomal RNA". It matches the Rfam family "Bacterial small subunit ribosomal RNA", at positions 77 to 354 of the family's 1533-position model. The record is from RNAcentral.
UCUUCGGACGGGCGGCGAGCGGCGGACGGCUGAGUAACGCGUGGGAAUCUACCCCAAAGUGAGGGAUAACGCACCGAAAGGUGUGCUAAUACCGCAUACGGUCUUCGGAUUAAAGUUUUAACGCUCUGGGAAGAGCCCGCGUACUAUUAGAUAGUUGGUGAGGUAAAGGCUCACCAAGUCGACGAUGGUUAACUGGUCUGAGAGGAUGAUCAGUCAGAUUGGAACUGAGACACGGUCCAAACUCCUACGGGAGGCAGCAG